This is a long non-coding RNA of Mya arenaria, 2768 nucleotides long. RefSeq lists it as uncharacterized. Lineage: Eukaryota; Metazoa; Mollusca; Bivalvia; Myida; Myidae. The record is from RefSeq and is a predicted model, not a curated record. The transcript has 4 exons.
UUAACUUUUCGUUUCGAGGCAGGGGAUACAGGGUAAUCCAGAAGAACUGGAAAAAGGGUUGUGAAAUUGCGUAAAUUUGUUUAUUUUUUUGUUUAGUGACACUGUUAUUCAAAAUCAAUACAUACACAUAUAUAACAAACAUCAAUUGUGACUGAUAAACCUUUAACUACAUACUAAAUAAUGCAUUUAUUGAAAAUAUUUAUUACUGAUAACAAGAUUGUAACCGUGUUUUUAAUAGCAGAAAGCGCAAAAAAUAUUUAAUGAUUGGUAAAUGCUAAAAGAUUUAUUGUGGUCUACUAUAGUCUCAUAAGGUAGAAAUACCGUGUGUAAUGCUCAUUUCUUUCAAAUUUAACUCGAUAUCCUUCAUAAGAACCAUUGUUUUCGACAUUUAUUCAUUCUUUUAGGAAUAUUGAAACAACAUUAUUAAUUGUGGUAAACCUUAUCUGGCAGUACUUAAGAGUGCAUCUUUGACUUUAUUACUCGAGUGAAUGCACCUUCAAACCGGUUUAACACCAACAUGUCACAGUAAUCAAUACCAUCUGUGUUAAGAUGUCGGGAAUGUGUUAGACGAAUGAUUUUGUUUUAUGGAGCUUUGAAGAGCGAUGAAUGGCACUAAAGUGGUGCCAAAUGGAUAUCUCAAACACCCAUUGUUGAUGUGUGAUGCUGAUAAUACAGAGACAGCUAGAGUGACAGAGUUUGAUGAAUAAACUUAAAUUAAAAAACAGAAAUAACCACCAUCUCUCUCAGAGGUCAUCUUUCUCAUUAUUGUGGGAAACCUCAAAGGGCAUCAGGAAAGAGUGACCAUUAUCACUCUUUAUUAGCUAAAAAAAGUGACCAUUGAAAAAAACAUAUAUAUAUAUUAAUGGUUAUAUUAAAUUUCAUCAUAAUAUUUAAAAAAAAUGUUAUAAAAAUAUAUAUAUAUGUAUUUAUUUUUUUAGUGGGGGGGCUUUUGAACCACUUGCCCAUUUUGAGGGGGGGCUUUUGAACGGGGGGCUUUUGAUAGGGGGGGCUUUUGAACGGGGGGCUUUUGAUAGGGGGGGCUUUUGAGUGUACCCCUCAGGAAAACCUUCAUCAACCUCUUUGUGCCCAGUGGCUUGUGCAACAGUGUUUCAGAAAUUAUCAUUAAAAUGGGGAUAAUGGAUGACUGGCCACACAUAUGGGGCUAUGGACAAGCUUCAGAGCAGGCUGCCAGGUGGUGGUGUUAGUAGUUUAUACUCCGGGUCCCGGCGUGAGCACAUUGAAGGGUCCCAGAGUGACGGUUCAACCACCCACACCUAUCCUGGGCAGAACCAGUACUAGGUGCCUUCACCUCUGCAAGGAACUGACAGCUUCUGUACAUGCCAGGUGCAGUGGUACAGUGCGAAUGGUCGUAGAAAGGAUUUCAUAACCAAUCACAACAGAGGUCACCUGGUCCGCCCGGGAAUCGAACCCGGGAUGUCCAAUUCAGAGUCCAACGCUCUACCGAUUGAGCUGACCGGGCGGACAUAUUAGCUACAUUAGAUGACAAGCCAUCUAUGCUGGACAUUCUUCACAAUAAAAUGUGAUGUCACAGGAGCUGUCUAUCUCAACAGCUCACACUGUCCGUAUUUGACUAAAGGAAUGAAUGAAGUCACUGCAGAAGUUAGAUUGAGGAAUGUCCAUGUCACUACCCAUCAUUUGGAAGGAGUUGGAUAAAAAAAGUGUGGCCUAUGUAUUGAAACAGGUCCGAUUUCCAGUUACGGACAGUCUUGAUUUGUCUGAUUACAUUUUUGACCAACAUGAUGGUCUAAAAGAACACUUACUGGUAACUGGUAAAAUCAUGGCCCAGUUGUUCCAAGAGGCAGGCGAGUGGGAAGUUACUAGACUCCAUUUCUUUAUGGGUUGAUCUGAGGUUCCAGUUCAGUUAAAGUACUGAUAGAACACCAAGUGUUUGCCAUAAUACAGCAACAUUUCAUUUGUAACUAUGUAUUUGUUUGAAUUGUUGAAACAGUACUGUUAACUAAAUAAUGUGUAUGUAUAUGAAGAAUAAUAUUAUAAAUAAUUUGUAAGAACCUUUUGAUAUUAAGUAAAAUGUCGAUAAGUCUAAAUAUGUAUCUGCGAAUCAUUUUUGUAUAUCUGUAAAGAUUACAUUGCCUAUAUUCCUCAAUUUAUAUUUUUCUUUUAGCCAGUCAAUAACUUUGUUAAGUUCUAUCUUCAAAAUUGUCGGGACAGGGAUUAUAGCCCUUAAUUAACCCAAAUAUGUAACAUUCAAUGCAAAAUUGGCUGCAAUUAGGCAGUUCAGAUGCAGGAACAAACAUCACUUGGGUCCUUAAUAAUAGCUUUCCAUCUGACAUUGAAGAUCCAAUAAAAGGAAUUUGUCUUGUGACUGUUUAUUAACUCUCAAUUUAUUGAAAGUGAAAUUACUUACAUGAUUUGUAAGAACUAAAUUAUAAUGAUAUCAAAUGAUUGUUUAAAUUAAAUAAAAUAGAUGAUUACAUACAUGAACUAUUUUUAUUUCUUGUUUGUCAAUAUGAAGAGUAAUGCAAUGGCUUUUGAAUUUCAUAAAAAAGGAUGGAAAAAUGUAUGUUUAUUGUUUAAGCAAUUAAUUAAGUAAUAAAAGUUGUUUUUUUUCUUUUUUUCAAAUUGUGCUAUCUUAUAAUACAGAUCGUUAUUUGUUUAAUUUUGGUACAAAUGAAGUAUAUAAGGUAUGUCUAAUGUUACAAAUAGCAAAAAUUCAAAUGCAAAUCAUGGUGACUUGACUAAAUGUGAAUGCUAAUUGAAUCAAAAUAGUUAAUAAAUAAUAAUGUUCA